UUCACGGCUUAUGGCAGCACUUCAGACAGAGCAUCUCGUUAAAGCUUGGGAGCGCAACUGAGAAACGAAGUGUCGGACAUUGGCGAUUAACCGGGAAUUGGUUCGUUAAGAGACGGCGUAACACUGCUUCGCUGCGCGAUGAAUUUGCUAAUCGGUUUCCUUUGACCCGUGAACGUGGUCAAUAACAUCGCUCCCGAUGUGUGAAAUACCCCGGUUUUGGGUGAGGUGAGUCUGGGGCAGAAUUCCUCCUGGAUCUCGCCAGCUAAUGAUGGCUCAUAUGAUUCGAAUGUGCAGGACGAUGGGUCUUCCAGCCUUCCCAUUUGGCUGCUGUUGUCUUCCCGGAGAUGUAUUUGUGCUGUUCCGGCUCUGCUUGCACCCCGCACAUAUACCGAUCCCACCAGGACGAAAAGCAUUGAUGUAAUGCAGUUUAGUCAAAGUUUAAACCAAUUAACUUGCUAACAACGUGUGUUUGCUGGCAUUGUGCAAACACUGAGGUCUGGAACACAAUGCAUAGAUGAUAGCAUAUUCGAUUCCUAGUUUUUGUUCAAACAACACUCGCAUACCUUUUUCGGACUCGUGCAAGGUCAUCAUGCCUGGGGGUGGCUGGCUUUUUACAUCCAGUGUUUUUUUUCCCUCCGGUAAUUACCUUAGGGAUUUGUAUUUUUUUCUGCGUUUUCCAUACAAUACUUCAGCAGGGCCGCAACUAUGUCAAUAUUUUUCCUUUUUCACAUGCACCUAUAAGGUUGUUGCCAAAUGUUUGCUAAGCUUUUUGGGGGCAGUCAUGUAAGAACUCGCGCUAUUGACUGUGGCUCCCUAGUGACUGCGCCCUCAGUAGGCCCCCUGCUGGACCUAAAUGGGAUUUCUACCGUGGGCUCCAUCACAGCCUUGGCAGGUGACUCGCAUGGGUCUUGGCGUACAGAUUUGCUUUAAUGUGCUUAGUGCAGCUCUUGUUUCUGCGAUGCCAUUUUGGGGGCCCUAAGUACAGCUGAACAUUGGGUUCAGGAUGUUCCUUCAAACAAGUGGUGCAUCACCUUGUAGUCAAGAUACAUCCAUCCAUCCAUCUUCUAUACCCGCUAUGUCCUAAAAUGCCAGAGAUUACAGGAAGGACAUUGACCAAAUGAGUGCAGAUAUGAACAGGAUUGGAGACCUGAGUGUCAGAAAUCGAAAUUUGUAUCAGAAUAUCUUACUUUCCCUUGGACCAUAUUAGAACUGAUCAACAGAGUAUGUCAUCAAACACGGCCACUGCCAAGAAAGCAAUUAGCCAUGGCCUUAUCCUCAAUCUCUGGCCACUGGGCGUUUGGGCCAAACCACAAAUGGGUGCCGUUAAAUACCACAAGCUUAUGAGACUCACUCUGCCUGAUUUUUGUUGACCUUUAGAGUGAUAUUAAAGUCUGCUUUGUCACUGAGGCUAUUGCUGGCUCGUGGAUGCAAAACCAGCGUCACUUUAACUUUCAAGGUUCUUGUAGCGAACGUUGCUGCAGUUCCACUAAUGUCAGAAACGGAACACAGUUAGUGCAUAUCAACAUAUUACAUGGCAUCCAUCAACCAGAAAAGCAGCUGACAAAAACUUAUCAGUCUUUAUUUAUUAUGGUUAUUUAAUGUAGUUGUUUAGCAGGCACUUCUGUUCAAAGUGCCUUAAAGUGCUUAAAAGCUUUCACUUAACCCAUUUAUACAACUGGAUAUACUGAAACAUUAUGGUUAGGUGUCUUGCCCAAGGGUUACGAUGGCAGAAGCAUCCUGGAACUCCACCGACUUAUUUGCAAGUCCUUAAUGUCUACUGUGGCAUCUGGCAUCCAGAGGCUGUGAGUUGGCGCCUAUGUGUCUCCUCCGGCAUUUCUGGCGACCCCUAGUGGCUGAAGGACACACGCCGGUCAUUCUGAUACAGUUUCAGCUCCCAGGGGUCUGGGAUGACCCAGAUAGCUGGAAACUGUUCGUCGCCCUCCAUCAACACUUGAAUCUCAGUGCGGGCCAACUCCUCCAGCUCAGGGGUCAUUUCUGGGCACCAGUCGGUGCUGAAUUUGUCCCGGGCCUCCCAGAGAGAAACCUCUACCUCCUCAGGCUGCUCCCCAAACAGAUAGUCUACAGGGGUUAGGGUGCAAAAGAAGCAGAGUGGAACACAGUGGGUGAGGUACACACACACACACACACACACACACAGACCUGUACUCAUAUCUUUGUGGGGACCGUCCAUUCAUUUCUAACUCUUAAUCCCAACAAUGACAAAACGUAUCCUGACAAUCCAAGGCAGGGGGGGGGGGUUGUACCAUCCAUUGAGCUUUGUGUCCUUUUUGCGAAUCCCACUCGAGGCUCACCUGCCAGGUCGUGGAUGAGGUCCCUGAUGAGGUGUCCGAUGAUGGCGUACAAGACCGUCCCCACGAUGAACGUCGCCAUCAGCAGAUACAGGACGUACUUGGGCAGGUGGAUGGCAUCCCGUGCCGGGGGGACGUAGUUCUUGAACAGAACCUCCACCUGCUGACUGUCCUGGUACGAGCUGACAUCCAUGACUGUCGUCCCUGACUCUGCUCCUCUCCGGACACUCGGUGCCCCCCCCCCAAGUUUCAUGGUGAGGGGGGGAGCCUCCUCACCAUCCCCACCUGUUCUCUCACCUACGGUGGACCACCUAGAAGGCGAAAACACGUGAGGUCAUCAUGUGAUGUCGCCGCUCCUAACUGACGAUGUCUCUCUCUGUCAACUUCCCAUCAAAGUGUCCCGUUUGCAUCCCUGCAGCCAAAGUUGGUGAAUAUCUCCGGCUUUAUUUACAGUAAUCCAGCCCAGCCCACAGUACAGAACUGAUUCACCAGUAUCCUUUUAAGUGAUUAUGACUGCUGGCUUAAAUUUUUAAUACGAUUGUAGACCUCACUGAGCAACCUUCUUCUGAUGGUUUAAAUAAACUUUCCACUCUUGGUUGAUAAACGUAAAACAAAUGACUCACGAUUGAGGAUGAGAUCUUGACUGCAUAUUUGAUUCCUGAAACCUAUGUAGACUGGAAUCGAUUUUUAAACUUCAGAGAAGUAAUAUCUACCUGUCACUUCAGAUAUAAAGUAACGGGAUUGCCGUUUUCCAUCUAGCUGACCUCCUUAAGGUUAUUCAGCAAACUGGUGAAAUCACUGUGAAAGUGAAGGGCGACGAAAAGAUGAGAAUGCUGCACUUACUUACUAAAGAAACUCCGAUUUGCGGGCUCACGCCUAGGUCCCUGAGAACCUUCCAGAGAAGACGGAGCUGAUGAAGGCGCAGCUAUCCUGACCGACGUCUCCGCUCCCGCCGGCCCUCUGGUGUCACACUAAGCCAUCCAAGCGCAUGGUGAGCUGAGCUUGGCUUAGAAGAAGGUGGACCUAAGGACUGCUGAAGGACAUCGUCCUGAGGAGGAUGAGGCAUGGAAAUCCCAACGCCAGACAAGAUGUCCAGGGCAAUACAUCUUAUAAAUCAUGGACGUAGAGGAGAUCUCCAUCACAGACUGGGAUUUAGAUAAUCUCUGUUACUCAGCCUGAAGCUUUGAUGACCUGGAUACAUCUAAUCUGUACAUUUACAGCUUCUAAAUUCACACUGACGGCAGCUGAAGAUAAUUGGAUGUAGCAGAGCUGGAUUCACUUAUUCUGCAAGUGUCAUGUUGCCUUCAUUGAUUUAAGUCCAACUGUGAUGCUUUCAAAAUGAAACGACCUGAAGCAAUAGGUGAAUGGAGGAUCCUCCUGAGAGAGACUGAUAUGUCUGAAGAAAGUACGCGUAGACACAGGUGACUGUGACCUUUUUCUCCUUGAGAGAAACUGCAAACUCACAUGGAACAAAAUGAAAGGCCUGGCCUUACGUCCACCGCUGUCCUGCGCAGAACGCAUAUCCACCUGUCACCGAACCGCUCGGAAAAAUGUCAAAGAGAAAAUUGUCCAGCAAAGACUCAAAUGAGGACCACUUUCAGAAAAACAUGAGGAGCCUGGAUGAAAACAACCGGAAAACAAAACAGCAAUGGGUGUAGCAUUGAAAAUAAGUUGGAUACUUAACUUCCUAAUGAUGAAUGAGAUGACUGAUCAUACGUGGACAUUAAGUGCAGGAGCUGAACUAUUCGUUCACCUUCAUCGUGGUUGGGGUCACUGAAGACAUAGAAACCAAACAAUAAAAUGAAUCGUUCAGCUUCAACUUGGCUGGUGUCUACGUGAAAUUGCAAAGAGAUCCGUUGGGCUGCAGUUAACCUGAGAUACGACUUCACUGCUGAACUACUUUGCUGGACAGAUGCAGGCGUGUUCCAUUGCAGACUGUGUUCCAUUUUUUUUUUUCCCGUCCCUGAUAC
Molecule: non-coding RNA, 4279 nt
Organism: Paramormyrops kingsleyae
Lineage: Eukaryota; Metazoa; Chordata; Actinopteri; Osteoglossiformes; Mormyridae
Source: RefSeq, a predicted model, not a curated record